This 898-nucleotide long non-coding RNA is filed under the name Mus musculus (house mouse). RNAcentral describes it as "predicted gene 43647". The record is from RNAcentral. Lineage: Eukaryota; Metazoa; Chordata; Mammalia; Rodentia; Muridae.
GCCUGUGUCACCGUGGCGCUCCAUGAGAGCACAGAAAUACGUCGCAGCAUCCCCCAGCUGCGAGUCGGAGAUCUCCAGGCUGAAGGACUUAGCUGCUUUCUGGAAGUUCACAGAGAAGCGGUUUAACGUUGCAUUAUACUGCUUGUAUGCUUCUUGGAGAAUGACGAGAGUCACCUGCCCUCCUUGCUGUUUGUACCAGAACAAGAGCCACCCUCAUCAUCUUUUAUUGAUGCCAAUUGACAAAACCUGGAUCUGCCCACUACACAUCUAUUUAUACAGGCCCAUGACCUCCUCACAACAUAAGAAGCAUUUAGCCAAACUGUGAAAGCUCCAAUAGUCUUCAGCAGCUCCAACACUGUUCAAAAGUAGACCGGAAGUGCCGAACUGCCUUGCUAUCACGGCUCGCCCCUGCUUGGGAAGAUUAACACACUAAGAAGACUGAUGUCGGAAUAUCUUCACUGAGAUCAUAAUUAUUCUCCACGGGAAGCAUAGGGCUUCCCCAGCGGCAGCACGGAUUCCAUUUUCCUGCCUCUCUAAUGACCAGUUCUCAGAUCUCUGAACCUUGAGGAGAGGAGUUUUAUGAGGAGCAUGUGCAACUGCCACCCCAAGAUGGCAUCCAGGACGGCUGCCAGGUCUUAUGACCUGCGCCUGACUUCCUCAUUACCUCAGACUUAGCCACAUCCCAGCCGCCUGCACUGCGCAGACGCCAUGCCUCGUCAGCUCGCUUGAGGUGUUGUCACUUGCUGUGAACCAAUGGACUGCCGUUACGUGACUGGGGUGGAGUCAGUAGGGUAUUUAAGGCACACCCCGGGGUUGUUGGGCGGGGGUAGGGGGUGGGGGAUUCCCAUUCCUGCAUUGCAAUUGGAAGUGUUCCUGAAUAAACCUGCUUGAAGAAGGA